ACAUUUAUGAUUUGUUGUGCAUAGAUACCAUUAGACUGCAAUUACAAGUAUUUCUCUUAUUCCUUACACAGCUGUGCAGUGUGACUUUCCAAGUUAUAUACCGAAGGUUUGCAGUAUUGGAGUUCAGUGUAAUAGAUAUCUUGAGGAAGUGAGAGAUAAUUCUAAACCAUGCAGAGUGAUAAGUAUGAGCACGGAUGAGUAAGAUGAUCUUUAUGUUCCCUCCAGUUAGGAUGAAAAUGAAGACAAAGACAACGACACAGACUACUGUCCAGAGUCAGCUGAAGAAUUUCUAUCCACUGAAAUUUCUUCAGAUGAUGGGUCUGACCAUGAUGAUAAUUCAUACAAAAAAAUGGACAGGAAAUACAUCGUAUCUGAGUCGCAAUCGAUACAGUUGUUUUCAAUCUGUCUAACUUGUACAUCUGCCACACUUUGCCAAGUAAGACCAGUUUCAGGCCCAAUGAUCAAGAUUGACCAGUGUUGUGGUAUAUGUGGAUUUCAAAGAACUUGGAACAGCCAAGAAAUGAUUGGAUCUUUACCGUCAUGGAAUUUAUCCAUGUCAGCAGCCAUAUUGUUUUAAGGCCUUAUACAAAGCAAAGCGCUUCGUUUCUUGGAACAUAUGAAUGUUGCUGCCAUAGCAUUAAGUACCUUCCACCAACACCAGAAAUACUAUCUCCAUCCAGCUGUUUCGACAAUAUGGAAGGAUUUUCAGAAUAAUUAUUUUAAUCAAAAGACCCAACAAGGAAAUCCCUUAAUUAUAGGUGGAGAUGGUAGAGCUGACACUACCUGGGCAUUCGGCUAAAUAUGGCAGGUAUGCUAUGCUAGACAUGGAUCUAAUGCUUGUCAUAGAUAUUCAACUUGUUCAGAGCAAUGAAGUUCAAGGAAGCUAUCAUAUGGAGAAGGAAGGAUUUAUACGCAGUAUUAAUAACAUUGAAAGCAAAGGCCUCAAAAUAGAGAAAAUUAUAACUGACCGACAUCUUCAGAUACAAAAACAUGUCAGAGAAAACAUGCCUCACACAACACAUAACUAUGAUGUGUGGCAUGUUGCUAAAGGUAUGAG
Molecule: long non-coding RNA, 1057 nt
Organism: Saccostrea echinata
Lineage: Eukaryota; Metazoa; Mollusca; Bivalvia; Ostreida; Ostreidae
Exons: 5
Source: RefSeq, a predicted model, not a curated record